Molecule: transfer RNA, 76 nt
Filed under: Arthrobacter sp. 7749
Lineage: Bacteria; Bacillati; Actinomycetota; Actinomycetes; Micrococcales; Micrococcaceae
Also listed under: 1 other name
Description: tRNA-Val
Rfam family: tRNA
About the family: Transfer RNA (tRNA) molecules are approximately 80 nucleotides in length. Their secondary structure includes four short double-helical elements and three loops (D, anti-codon, and T loops).
Source: RNAcentral
GGGCCUUUAGCUCAGUUGGUAGAGCGUCACGUUUACACCGUGAAUGUCAUCGGUUCGAUCCCGGUAGGGCCCACCA